Molecule: small nuclear RNA, 62 nt
Organism: Tupaia belangeri (northern tree shrew)
Lineage: Eukaryota; Metazoa; Chordata; Mammalia; Scandentia; Tupaiidae
Gene: U7
Rfam family: U7 small nuclear RNA
About the family: Animal histone pre-mRNAs are spliced by a different mechanism than nuclear pre-mRNAs and self-splicing introns. This processing involves the U7 snRNP, which contains only one RNA species: U7. The 5' end of U7 RNA is thought to base-pair to a conserved spacer element downstream of the cleavage site in histone pre-mRNA.
Source: Ensembl
UACCAUUACAGCUCUUUUAGAAUUUGUCUAGGAGGUUUUCUGGUUUUUACCAGAAAGCCUAG